GGGGGUGACCGGUUUCGACUUGGGACGGUGGUCCCAGGGGAAGCGGGCCGAGGAUCGGGGUCAUCUCGUUAACGAUCUCCGAAAACCAAUAAGUGCCGAUACCAAUCGCACUAACUUCGCUCUGGCUGCCUGACAGCUAACCGAAGGGUCAGACCACGGGCGCCUUCGCCGUGGACCCUGGCCUCGUCUAGAAGGCUAACCGCCAGCCGGCGUCCGAACGGCUGAGCGGGACACUCAUCGGACUGGGCUGGUUCACGACCCGUCGGCCGGAGCGUGACAGCCAAGUGGAACGACAGACCGACUGCGCCCGGAGAAUACCUGCGACAUUGCUCAAGGACGGGGGUUCGACUCCCCCCACCUCCACGA
This 366-nucleotide transfer-messenger RNA is filed under the name Propionibacteriaceae bacterium. It matches the Rfam family "transfer-messenger RNA". Rfam says of the family: Bacterial tmRNA, also known as 10Sa RNA or SsrA, is named for its dual tRNA and mRNA-like properties. The record is from RNAcentral. Lineage: Bacteria; Bacillati; Actinomycetota; Actinomycetes; Propionibacteriales; Propionibacteriaceae.